Molecule: RNA transcript, 958 nt
Organism: Hevea brasiliensis (rubber tree)
Lineage: Eukaryota; Viridiplantae; Streptophyta; Magnoliopsida; Malpighiales; Euphorbiaceae
Exons: 4
Source: RefSeq, a predicted model, not a curated record
UUGCAUUUUUCCUCUUUUUGUUUAAAAAAAAAAUUGCUCUUCGCUUGAAAAACGACGUCAUUCUGUUUCUCGAAGCGGAAGAGAAGUACAAUAUCAUGGGAGUAGGUGGCGGCUUUUGAGAGCGAGAGAAACAGAGAGAAAUGUCCCUGGUAGACUACGCUUCUUCGUCCGACGACGACGUGUCGGAGGAUAAAGAACGAGAAGAAGAAUCGGAAGCAACAGCGAAACCCCAAAACGAACCACAAGUCCGAAAUUCAUCUCCUACAAUUCCGCCUACUAACCAGAGAUCUUCUAAGUCAUUCUCAAGUCCACACCUUUCACCGUCUUGUAUCGAGACGCUUCCAGAUGCUUCUCUUCUACUGAAUUCACCAUCAGUUUCAUUGCUCACUGCAACUGGAACCGGAACUGACCAUGCAUCUCGAGUUGCAGCUGCUAUGGCAGAAAGUGCAUCACGCAAAAGAGACUCCCAUGGAUUGCCUUCCAGUUUACCCCGCUCCAAAGUACCAAAAGGGACUUUGCCACAUACAAAGAUGGUUCCAGAUACGGUUGGUGGUAUUCUAGUUCCGCCUCAACUAAGUGGAAGGUCAUCUAUCUAGGGUGACUAUUUGUUCUCACCACUUAGCUCAGCUCAGGAGAGACCUUGGCCUCCGACCGGCCGUUUCGACUCCAGAUUAACAUCGCCGGCGUCGCCUCAACCCCCUCAUUCCACCACUGUGUGUUGUUGCCUGAUCCAGUACACCAAUAAAGGACUUAUGAGGAGCAACAUUGUGACAGAAGACAUCGGGAAGCUGUUUGUAAAGAGACAAGCUGAGCCCUCUUCUCACUAGAAUGUCCUAUGCGAUAGUUCUAUUUAAUGUGACAUUUUUGUAGCCUUAAAAUAUGUCUAAAAUUAUUUUUGUAGCCUUAACAUAUCUGUCUCUCAAAUUUCACUGCGCUAUAAAUAUGAAAUUUUGUCAAA